AACCUAUGUUAAGGACAUUUUUGCUGGAAUUCCCUGAACAUUUCCCACAUCUCAAAUAGAGACUCCAAUUCCGUUUGCACAAAGGAUGAGAUCUCAUUUCUAAGCUU
Dioscorea cayenensis subsp. rotundata (Guinea yam) is the source of this 107-nucleotide small nucleolar RNA. NCBI's taxonomy places the organism in Eukaryota, Viridiplantae, Streptophyta, Magnoliopsida, Dioscoreales, Dioscoreaceae. The record is from RefSeq and is a predicted model, not a curated record.